RNAcentral lists this ribosomal RNA (253 nucleotides) under uncultured bacterium. RNAcentral's name for it is "partial 16S ribosomal RNA". It matches the Rfam family "Bacterial small subunit ribosomal RNA", at positions 524 to 776 of the family's 1533-position model. The record is from RNAcentral.
UACGGAGGAUGCAAGCGUUAUCCGGAAUGAUUGGGCGUAAAGCGUCCGCAGGUGGCUAUGUAAGUCUGCUGUUAAAGAGUGAGGCUCAACCUCAUAAAAGCAGUGGAAACUACAUGGCUAGAGUGCGUUCGGGGCAGAGGGAAUUCCUGGUGUAGCGGUGAAAUGCGUAGAGAUCAGGAAGAACACCGGUGGCGAAAGCGCUCUGCUAGGCCGCAACUGACACUGAGAGACGAAAGCUAGGGGAGCGAAUGGG